AGUGACGAUAGCCUAGGAGAUACACCUGUACCCAUGCCGAACACAGAAGUUAAGCCCUAGAACGCCGGAAGUAGGUUGGGGGUUGCCCCCUGUGAGAUAGGGAAGUCGCUUAGCU
This 115-nucleotide ribosomal RNA is filed under the name Streptococcus pneumoniae GA05245. The record is from RNAcentral. Lineage: Bacteria; Bacillati; Bacillota; Bacilli; Lactobacillales; Streptococcaceae.